UACGAAGGGGCUAGCUUUGUUCGGAAUCACUGGGCGUAAAGCGCACGCAGGCGGAUCGAUAAGUCGGGGGUGAAAGCCCGGGGCUCAACCUCUGAAUUGCCUUCGAUACUGUCGGUCUCGAGUCCGGGAGAGGUGAGUGGAAUUCCUAGUGUAGAGGUGAAAUUCGUAGAUAUUAGGAAGAACACCAGUGGCGAAGGCGGCUCACUGGCCCGGUACUGACGCUCAGGUGCGAAAGCGUGGGGAGCAAACAGG
RNAcentral lists this ribosomal RNA (252 nucleotides) under uncultured bacterium. RNAcentral describes it as "partial 16S ribosomal RNA". It matches the Rfam family "Bacterial small subunit ribosomal RNA", at positions 524 to 776 of the family's 1533-position model. The record is from RNAcentral.